RNAcentral lists this long non-coding RNA (514 nucleotides) under Ananas comosus (pineapple). RNAcentral's name for it is "long non-coding RNA (ACOM_LNC035186)". The record is from RNAcentral. Lineage: Eukaryota; Viridiplantae; Streptophyta; Magnoliopsida; Poales; Bromeliaceae.
GAGGCGGGCUCGGGGCAUGACAUAUUUACUUUGUUUAUUUGUUUUAGAAAUAAAUUUAUUUAGAAAUGUGAAUCAACUAGGAUUCGAACUUGGGACAUCGAGUACCACACCAAGCUCUUCGUCAUUUGCGCCAGGGACAGUUGGUUAUUAUGUGGAUUUUUAGUGUUGGUGAGUGUUGAUUUAUGGUUGGUCUUAUGAUUUUGUAGUAAAAUUAUUUUCUAUUUCUCGUGGUAGCGUUUUCGAAAAGAAUAUAUGGGGUGUUUGGUCUAACUUCUAAGAAGUAAUUUUGAGCCUAAAAUUACUUUUAAGCUCAGUAGAGCAUUUGGGAAUGAUAGGUGGCAAAUUAGAUUUUACUUUUCAGAAUUAGAAAACUGAUUUUGAAAGGUCCAAAAUCAGAAGCAGAAAAAAGCCGCUUCUCCAAAACUGAUUCUGAUUUUGGACUCAAAUUUUAAAUUUUUAUUUUUCUUUUAGAUUCAAAGUAUAAAUUUAACAUUAAAUUUAAAUUUUAAAAUUU